Molecule: non-coding RNA, 414 nt
Organism: Callorhinchus milii (elephant shark)
Lineage: Eukaryota; Metazoa; Chordata; Chondrichthyes; Chimaeriformes; Callorhinchidae
Source: the annotation of a RefSeq genome assembly
AUGUAUAUCUAUGUGGUAGCAACCAUCAUUGCCUUAUCAGGACAUUGUGGAGGAGAUUCUGUGACACAGCUGCAAUCCACUCUGACAGUGAAUGAAGGGGAGAAUGUUUAUAUGCAGUGCAAUUAUACAGCUACAAGCACCAGCGAUCCCUAUCUGUUCUGGUACCGUCACUAUCCCAAUAAAGCUCCAGAAUAUAUCCUAAGAACAGACACCAGCAACAAGUUCCCGGACCACGCGGACUUCGCAGAAGGACGUUUCUCAACGAAUGUGUCUAAAGGGGAGAGAACCGUCCCAUUAAAUAUAUCGCAAAUGAGAGUUACAGACUCCGCGGGGUAUUCCUGUGCACUGAGCUCCACAGAGGCACAGAUCAGCGAUUCCGCCCUACAAGAACUGCCUGUAGCUAAAUGUUUAUAG